GAGGAUGCGAGCGUUAUCCGGAUUUAUUGGGUUUAAAGGGUGCGUAGGCCGUGAGUCAAGUCAGCGGUAAAAUUGAGAGGCUCAACCUCUUCGAGCCGUUGAAACUGAUUCACUUGAGUGAGCGAGAAGUAUGCGGAAUGCGUGGUGUAGCGGUGAAAUGCAUAGAUAUCACGCAGAACUCCGAUUGCGAAGGCAGCAUACCGGCGCUCAACUGACGCUGAUGCUCGAAAGUGCGGGUAUCAAA
RNAcentral lists this ribosomal RNA (244 nucleotides) under uncultured bacterium. RNAcentral's name for it is "partial 16S ribosomal RNA". It matches the Rfam family "Bacterial small subunit ribosomal RNA", at positions 528 to 772 of the family's 1533-position model. The record is from RNAcentral.